RNAcentral lists this ribosomal RNA (406 nucleotides) under uncultured bacterium. RNAcentral describes it as "bacterial SSU rRNA". It matches the Rfam family "Bacterial small subunit ribosomal RNA", at positions 509 to 915 of the family's 1533-position model. The record is from RNAcentral.
CAGCAGCCGCGGUAACACGAGGGGUGCAAGCGUUGUUCGGAAUCACUGGGCGUAAAGGGUUCGUAGGCGGAUAGGAAAGUCAAAUGUUUAAAACCGGGGCCUAACCCCGGCUAGGUGUUUGAAACUUCCUAUCUUGAAUAGGUCAGAGGUAAGUGGAAUUCUUAGUGUAGCGGUGGAAUGCGUAGAGAUUAAGAAGAACACCAAUUGCGAAGGCAGCUUACUGGGACCAUAUUGACGCUGAUGGACGAAAGUGUGGGUAGCGAACAGGAUUAGAUACCCUGGUAGUCCACACCGUAAACGUUGUUUACUAGAUGUUUGAGAAUUUAUUCUUGGGUAUCGCAGCUAACGCAUUAAGUAAACCGCCUGGGGAGUACGCUCGCAAGAGUGAAACUCAAGGAAUUUGACG